AUUACUGGGCGUAAAGCGUGCGCAGGCGGUUUUGUAAGACAGUGGUGAAAUCCCCGGGCUCAACCUGGGAACUGCCAUUGUGACUGCAAGGCUAGAGUGCGGCAGAGGGGGAUGGAAUUCCGCGUGUAGCAGUGAAAUGCGUAGAUAUGCGGAGGAACACCGAUGGCGAAGGCAAUCCCCUGGGCCUGCACUGACGCUCAUGCACGAAAGCGUGGGGAGCAAACAGGAUUAGAUACCCUGGUAGUCAAGGGCG
This 253-nucleotide ribosomal RNA is filed under the name uncultured Burkholderiales bacterium. RNAcentral's name for it is "partial 16S ribosomal RNA". It matches the Rfam family "Bacterial small subunit ribosomal RNA", at positions 550 to 802 of the family's 1533-position model. Lineage: Bacteria; Pseudomonadati; Pseudomonadota; Betaproteobacteria; Burkholderiales. The record is from RNAcentral.